RNAcentral lists this ribosomal RNA (348 nucleotides) under uncultured Bacillus sp. Its description in RNAcentral is "bacterial SSU rRNA". It matches the Rfam family "Bacterial small subunit ribosomal RNA", at positions 9 to 346 of the family's 1533-position model. Lineage: Bacteria; Bacillati; Bacillota; Bacilli; Caryophanales; Bacillaceae. The record is from RNAcentral.
GAGUUUGAUCGUGGCUCAGGACGAACGCUGGCGGCGUGCCUAAUACAUGCAAGUCGAGCGAACGGAUAAAGAGCUUGCUCUUUUGAAGUUAGUGGCGGACGGGUGAGUAACAUGUGGGUAACCUGCCUCACAGCUGGGGAUAACAUCGAGAAAUCGAUGCUAAUACCGAAUGUGCUGAACAUCAUAAGAUGUUCAAGUGAAAGACGGUUUCGGCUGUCACUGUGAGAUGGACCCGCGCUGGAUUAGCUAGUUGGAAGGUAAUGGCUUACCAAGGCGACGAUCCAUAGCCGACCUGAGAGGGUGAUCGGCCACACUUGGGACUGAGACACGGCCCAAACUCCUACGGGA